CAACGAGACAGCUGCCUUCCCACAGCAGCUAUCCCAGAAAAAUCCUAAGAAAAAACCAAAGCUACCAGGCUCCUCGGCCGACAACCUAAGCUUUUUGAAGAAAGCUGUCCAGGGACGGCGGCGGCCGCCUUCCCGAGGAGCUUCCACCCCGUCAAGAUCUGACUAUUGCUCCUGGCCGUCCUAGAGACCUGUACUGCCUCUGUAAGUCCCCCUGCUGCUGGCACUCUCCUUUUGCUAACAAAAUGGCACGGGUUUGUGGCAGGGCAGAACAAUAGGGCCGGGGACAGAUUAAGCCACCUGCGGGCACAUUCUCUGCUCCUUCCUUGGCCUCAACUGCAGCACAAUGGAGGCGAUAAUGGGCCGAUUAGCAGUUCCUGGCACUGGAAGUGUCACAUUCCAGGUGAGUCCCACGUGGGAAGAGGGCGGAGGAGGCAGGAUGGGGGGCCCGCAGGGACCCCCAGCACAGGCUCGGAUUGGGCCGCAGCAGGGCUCACACAGGGGGCGUUCCAGCUGGCAUUGGAGGGCCAGGGUGUAAAAGGGCAGCACGGUGAACGAUCGAGGAGUUGCUGUUUCGUGCUUCUCGCUGCGAGGCUGCUGUUUCGUUGGUGAUGGAGAGACCAGACGAGCUGCCGGCUGCCCCUUCACCCUUCUGGUCGCUGCUGGAGCUGCUGCGGCGGGAGCCCGGCAUGGAGUGGCUGCCGAGCGGGCCCGAUGGCUGCGCUGGAUCGGGCGGCACCGGGGGCCUGGAGGCUGGCAGCGGGGAAGGAGCAGGAGAUAAGCUCAGCCGGGUUCCUGAGGAGAAUUCCUUGGGCCCUUGGCCCCUGAAGGCUCUGCUGCUACUGGAGGAUUCGAGAGAGGGACACUUAUGGCAAGUCUACCAUGAAGGCCUGAAAAACUUUCUUGGCUUUAGAGAAAGCAUGUCUCUGUCUGCAGUCUGGCCAAUUCCAGUUGAACAAAUUAGAGAGUUUCUGGUUGCCAUGGAGUCCCAGGACCAGCCUCCCAUGAAAAUAAUAACAUAUGUGGAAGGACUGUCCUUCAUCUCCAGAAUGGUAAAUCAUCCCAAUCCUCUUUCAGAUCCUCGUCUCUGUCACAUGAUGUCAAGGCUGAAACGGAGGACUAGCCAUCCAAAUGAUGAAUACUCUCCUGUAACAAUUGAAGUGUUAAGAUCUCUCCUGGGCACUCUGGAGUCUGUGUGCAGCUGUCCUUAUGAGUGUCUGUUGUAUCGUGCCAUUUUUACUGUAGCUUUUUUUGGUGUGCUCCAUAUAGGAGACAUGGUGGCAAAUCACCCAAAUAUGGCACAGCCAGACCUCCUGUACUUGAGUGACCUCCGGCUGGCAGAAGGAAGUGCAACCCUUUUUCUGCAUCCAUCUCAUAUGGGCCAACAUAGGUGCUUGGUCCGGCUGAGACUACGCAAAGAGAUGUGGGUCUGUCCUGUUGAGGCGCUCCGGACCUAUGUAAGAGCACGGCCGCCAGGGGAGGGCCCUCUCUUUGUGCACUCAGACAGCAGGGCUGUGACCAAGAGGGAGUUCCUCACUGUCUUCCGCGCCGGCCUUCGCUUUGCUGGGCUCCCUCCAAACCAGUAUGCAGUGCAUUCCUUCUGGCUGAGGAACCCUAACAGGAGCUUCUCAUGGGCAUUCCCACAAAGUGAUUAACAGAACGGCAAGGUGGUGGUGAAGAUUCUGAAAAAGACCUAUUUCUGUCUCUGAUGCACUUUCUCAGUAGAGGGAAUCUUCUGUAAUGCACAAAUUUUAUACUUCAUACAGGCUGAAUUUUCACCUCUCUGUAAAGCUAGAGAGCACAGGAGGAACAAGUGGAAGGGACUUCACACCUGUGGUGGUUUUGAGAAUGAAAUAUCAUGGUUUUAAAACUGGGACUUGUGGGGCAGUGCACGUGGUAUUCAGCAUGUUUGUUCUAUUUGCACUUUUACCUUACGUGUAAUGUGUAAUCUUACAUUAAAUGGUGU
Molecule: long non-coding RNA, 1963 nt
Filed under: Zonotrichia albicollis (white-throated sparrow)
Lineage: Eukaryota; Metazoa; Chordata; Aves; Passeriformes; Passerellidae
Description: lncRNA (ENSZALG00000017749.1)
Source: RNAcentral